This 400-nucleotide ribosomal RNA is filed under the name uncultured bacterium. Its description in RNAcentral is "bacterial SSU rRNA". It matches the Rfam family "Bacterial small subunit ribosomal RNA", at positions 359 to 776 of the family's 1533-position model. The record is from RNAcentral.
GGAUAUUGGACAAUGGGCGCAAGCCUGAUCCAGCCAUGCCGCGUGGGUGAAGAAGGCCUUAGGGUUGUAAACCCCUUUCAGCGGGGAAGAUAAUGACGGUACCCGCAGAAGAAGUCCCGGCCAACUCCGUGCCAGCAGCCGCGGUAAUACGGAGGGGACUAGCGUUGUUCGGAAUUACUGGGCGUAAAGCGCACGUAGGCGGAUUCGUAAGUCAGGGGUGAAAUCCCGAGGCUCAACCUCGGAACUGCCUUUGAUACUGCGAAUCUUGAGUCCGGAAGAGGUGAGUGGAAUUCCUAGUGUAGAGGUGAAAUUCGUAGAUAUUAGGAAGAACACCAGUGGCGAAGGCGGCUCACUGGUCCGGUACUGACGCUGAGGUGCGAAAGCGUGGGGAGCAAACAGG